RNAcentral lists this microRNA (18 nucleotides) under Mus musculus (house mouse). RNAcentral describes it as "mmu-miR-3473a". The record is from miRBase by way of RNAcentral. Lineage: Eukaryota; Metazoa; Chordata; Mammalia; Rodentia; Muridae.
UGGAGAGAUGGCUCAGCA